GGGGUCGUCGUAUAACGGCUAGUAUGCAUCCAUGGCAUGGAUGAGAUGGGAGUUCGAUUCUCCCCGACUCCACCA
RNAcentral lists this transfer RNA (75 nucleotides) under Candidatus Saccharibacteria bacterium RIFCSPHIGHO2_12_FULL_48_21. RNAcentral describes it as "tRNA-Ala". It matches the Rfam family "tRNA". Rfam says of the family: Transfer RNA (tRNA) molecules are approximately 80 nucleotides in length. Their secondary structure includes four short double-helical elements and three loops (D, anti-codon, and T loops). Further hydrogen bonds mediate the characteristic L-shaped molecular structure. tRNAs have two regions of fundamental functional importance: the anti-codon, which is responsible for specific mRNA codon recognition, and the 3' end, to which the tRNAs corresponding amino acid is attached (by aminoacyl-tRNA synthetases). tRNAs cope with the degeneracy of the genetic code in two manners: having more than one tRNA (with a specific anti-codon) for a particular amino acid; and 'wobble' base-pairing, i.e. permitting non-standard base-pairing at the 3rd anti-codon position. RNAcentral also lists the same sequence under 2 other names. The record is from RNAcentral. Lineage: Bacteria; Candidatus Saccharimonadota.